Molecule: ribosomal RNA, 971 nt
Filed under: Kocuria rosea
Lineage: Bacteria; Bacillati; Actinomycetota; Actinomycetes; Micrococcales; Micrococcaceae
Description: bacterial SSU rRNA
Rfam family: Bacterial small subunit ribosomal RNA
Source: RNAcentral
UGCAGUCGAACGAUGAUGCCCAGCUUGCUGGGCGGAUUAGUGGCGAACGGGUGAGUAAUACGUGAGUAACCUGCCCUUGACUCUGGGAUAAGCCUGGGAAACUGGGUCUAAUACUGGAUACUACCUCUUACCGCAUGGUGGGUGGUGGAAAGGGUUUUACUGGUUUUGGAUGGGCUCACGGCCUAUCAGCUUGUUGGUGGGGUAAUGGCUCACCAAGGCGACGACGGGUAGCCGGCCUGAGAGGGUGACCGGCCACACUGGGACUGAGACACGGCCCAGACUCCUACGGGAGGCAGCAGUGGGGAAUAUUGCACAAUGGGCGGAAGCCUGAUGCAGCGACGCCGCGUGAGGGAUGACGGCCUUCGGGUUGUAAACCUCUUUCAGUAGGGAAGAAGCGAGAGUGACGGUACCUGCAGAAGAAGCGCCGGCUAACUACGUGCCAGCAGCCGCGGUAAUACGUAGGGCGCAAGCGUUGUCCGGAAUUAUUGGGCGUAAAGAGCUCGUAGGCGGUUUGUCGCGUCUGCUGUGAAAGCCCGGGGCUCAACCCCGGGUCUGCAGUGGGUACGGGCAGACUAGAGUGCAGUAGGGGAGACUGGAAUUCCUGGUGUAGCGGUGAAAUGCGCAGAUAUCAGGAGGAACACCGAUGGCGAAGGCAGGUCUCUGGGCUGUUACUGACGCUGAGGAGCGAAAGCAUGGGGAGCGAACAGGAUUAGAUACCCUGGUAGUCCAUGCCGUAAACGUUGGGCACUAGGUGUGGGGGACAUUCCACGUUUUCCGCGCCGUAGCUAACGCAUUAAGUGCCCCGCCUGGGGAGUACGGCCGCAAGGCUAAAACUCAAAGGAAUUGACGGGGGCCCGCACAAGCGGCGGAGCAUGCGGAUUAAUUCGAUGCAACGCGAAGAACCUUACCAAGGCUUGACAUUCACCGGACCGCCCCAGAGAUGGGGUUUCCCUUCGGGGCUGGUGGACAGG